RNAcentral lists this long non-coding RNA (560 nucleotides) under Salvia miltiorrhiza (redroot sage). Its description in RNAcentral is "long non-coding RNA (SMIL_LNC007358)". The record is from RNAcentral. Lineage: Eukaryota; Viridiplantae; Streptophyta; Magnoliopsida; Lamiales; Lamiaceae.
UAAUCAUGCACAUGUUACUAAGAGGGAGGGAGUAGGGUACAUGUUGCCAUCUGUAUUUUUCUUGAAAAUUUACAGCACAACAAUAAUGGUUGACAACGCUGGAAAAUGAGCUUUAGUGGCAAUUCAGCCACGCUACGGAGGGGAAAGCCUCAAGUGGAAUCUGGGUCUUCUCAGCGCAGUCAGGGCAGUUAUCUCAGCUACUUCAGGGCAGCCACCUCAGCGCAGCUAUCUCAGGGCAGUUAUCUCAGCUACUUCAGGGCAGCCACCUCAGCGCAGCUAUCUCAGAGCAGCUAUCUCAGUUAUCUCAGCUACCUCAGCGCAGCUACCUCAGAGCAGCUAUCUCAGUUAUCUCAGUAGUUUUCAGCGCAGAAUGUCCGAGCUGUUGUCAGUUCAGAAUGUCUAUGCUCCGCGCAGGAAUAUCGUAAGCCGCGAAAGUUAGACAGGGUUCUUUGAUUGUCUAUGCUCCGCGCAGGAAUAUCGUAAGCCGCGAAAGUUAGACAGGGGUGUACCAUCUUUGUACCAUCUUGAGGGCCGCUCUGCGGGGGUGUACCAUCUUAAGG